Molecule: non-coding RNA, 2364 nt
Organism: Oncorhynchus mykiss (rainbow trout)
Lineage: Eukaryota; Metazoa; Chordata; Actinopteri; Salmoniformes; Salmonidae
Source: RefSeq, a predicted model, not a curated record
AGAGGUCACACGUUGCUAGUGUUUUAUUGGUUAAUACGUGCAUAAUCAGGUCACACAAUAGAAAGCUGAAACCAAAGUAAUGAAUUGCAGAACAGCACAGCCAUAGAACACCCACAUCAUCAUACAGGAGGGACAAGAGUUCUCCUGACCAUUUAGUCUAGACCGGAACAUUUCCUAGUCAGGAAAAACAGCUGUUCCUCAACAGAACACCGGAGGACACAAUUUCCAGCUCCCCCAUGUCCAUACUCAGUGAGCAAAACUGGUUGAAAAAACAUUUAACUAGUUUUGCUGUUGAAAUUACAUAUUUCAACCAGUUUUGCGGGUAGUGAAGAGAUACAUUGGGUUACAAUGUCCAAUAGCUCAUUCCUGUUGCAACCCAACAGGUCCACAUGUUCCAUAGCAAUCCAACAGGUCCACAUGUUCCAUAGCAACCCAACAGAUCCACAUGUUCCAUAGCAACCCAACAGGUUCACAUGAUCCAUAGCAACCCAACAGGUCGACAUGUUCCAUAGUAACCCAACAGGUUCACAUGAUCCAUAGCAACCCAACAGGUUCACAUGAUCCAUAGCAACCCAACAGGUUCACAUGAUCCAUAGCAACCCAACAGGUUCACAUGAUCCAUAGCAACCCAACAGGUCGACAUGUUCCAUAGCAACCCAACAGGUUCACAUGAUCCAUAGCAAACCAACAGGUUCACAUGUUCCAUAGCAACCCAACAGGUCGACAUGUUCCAUAGCAACCCAACAGGUCGACAUGUUCCAUAGCAACCCAACAGGUCGACAUGUUCCAUAGUAACCCAACAGGUUCACAUGAUCCAUAGCAACCCAACAGGUCGACAUGUUCCAUAGCAACCCAACAGGUUCACAUGAUCCAUAGCAAACCAACAGGUUCACAUGAUCCAUAGCAAACCAACAGGUUCACAUGAUCCAUAGCAAACCAACAGGUUCACAUGAUCCAUAGCAAACCAACAGGUUCACAUGAUCCAUAGCAACCCAACAGGUCGACAUGUUCCAUAGCAACCCAACAGGUCGACAUGUUCCAUAGCAACCCAACAGGUUCACAUGAUCCAUAGCAAACCAACAGGUUCACAUGAUCCAUAGCAAACCAACAGGUUCACAUGAUCCAUAGCAAACCAACAGGUUCACACAACCAUCUGAUCGGAGGACAGCGUAAAAGAUUAAGCAUAUACAUAAUGCUUUCUGGUUAUAAAAAAUAAAAAGUGACACACAUAGAAAUCAACUGUUUAAAGUGACAUGUUAUAUUUGUUCAGUAACAAAGAAUCUUAGUUCAAACAUCUCUAUGCUUUGUCCAGCCUUAAGACAUAAGAGGAACAGCAACUGUUGAUUGUAAAAUGUAUGCUACUAUUUCAUAAGAGGUGGAAUUAAAGCAACAGAAGACCAACUAGGACAAGAAUGAAACAGAGUUAAAGCGCAUUAAUAACAGUUUAUUCUGUUACAGUAUUCUAAAACACAUUCAAACAUUAAUGCCCAAGACAAAUCAUACAAAUAAUGUACUUGUUUGUAAUAUCACCCUCACAUUUAUAAAUGAUUGUUACAAAUAAUGUUUGAUCUGGAAGCAGAUGUUUUUAAAUAAAAUACAGUAAGGUCUUUUUUACUUAUUUGAGUAUCUCAUUUACAGUAUAAUACACAUUACUUUGAUAAGUAUAUAAGGAUACUUGCAAGUAAACACAUAGUUCCUAUUGAAGUGAAACGUCAUGGCGUUUUGUAGUUAUUCAUUUGGUGUUAAUUGUAGAAGCUUUAUAAGCAUUAACUUUGAAAAGUACUGGCAAAAGAGUUGAAAUGAAGAACGAACCUCUUUUGCCUCAAAGGUCUGUAGCCCAUGUUUUCCUGACAACAGGAAGAGAAUGUUAUGCCCGCAUCUAACUCCAUUACCUACUGUAGGUAAGCAAAGUAAAAUAGAAUGUUAACAGGUUAAAAUGGGCCGUCCCACUAGCAGAGUCACAGCCCACAGCUACCGCCCACUGUAAUCCUCAAAAAUAAAAGACAGGAAGCUUUACCAGACAAUUUAGACCACAGUAAAAACACAUAAAACACGGUAAAAAUAACGUUUUUGGUCAUCCUUCUGAAGCACAUCCGAACCUAUUUCUGUUCCACACAUGUAUGUGUAAAGAGAGGAGAGCAGGGGAGCUUCCCCAAAGUAGAAAGGAUCUGGGAGGAAUUUGUUUUCCUGCAUGACAUUACUGUACAUAUACAACCAGGAGACCAAACAAUACAUUAAUGAGUUAGCCUUUCGACUAGGCGACCUACACAAAAGCUAAUAAUUCAGUUGGACUUAUAAACAUGUACUGCAGGUAAUACUCACAUAUUUCUGAUGUAUAUACAUAUAUUUAUGUAAACAUACAUA